GUAGCAGGGUAGCAAUAUCGCUGACGACCGGCGCACGGGUGAGUAACGCGUAUGCAACCUUCCUUUAACUGGGGGAUAGCCCGGAGAAAUUCGGAUUAAUACCCCAUAACAUCAUAGAGGGGCAUCUUUUUAUGAUUAAAGCUCCGGCGGUUAAAGAUGGGCAUGCGUGCCAUUAGCUUGUUGGUGAGGUAACAGCUCACCAAGGCUACGAUGGCUAGGGGGUCUGAGAGGAUGAUCCCCCACACUGGUACUGAGACACGGACCAGACUCCUACGGGAGGCAGCAGUGAGGAAUAUUGGGCAAUGGGCGCAAGCCUGACCCAGCCAUGCCGCGUGAAGGAUGAAUGCCCUAUGGGUUGUAAACUUCUUUUGUACGGGACGAAACUUCCGGUCGUGACCGGGAUUGACUGUACCGUGCGAAUAAGCAUCGGCUAACUCCGUGCCAGCAGCCGCGGUAAUACGGAGGAUGCGAGCGUUAUCCGGAUUCAUUGGGUUUAAAGGGUGCGUAGGCGGAAUAAUAAGUCAGUGGUGAAAGCCUGCGGCUUAACCGUAGAACUGCCAUUGAUACUGCUAUUCUUGAGUAUAGUUGAAGUGGGCGGAAUGUGUAAUGUAGCGGUGAAAUGCUUAGAUAUUACACAGAACACCAAUUGCGAAGGCAGCUCACUAAGCUGUUACUGACGCUGAGGCACGAAAGCGUGGGGAGCAAACAGAAUUAGAUACCCUGGUAGUCCACGCUGUAAACGAUGAUCACUCGUUGUUGGCGAUACACCGUCAGCGACUGAGCGAAAGCAAUAAGUGAUCC
Molecule: ribosomal RNA, 801 nt
Filed under: uncultured bacterium
Lineage: Bacteria
Description: bacterial SSU rRNA
Rfam family: Bacterial small subunit ribosomal RNA
Source: RNAcentral